GGCGCCAUGGCAGAGUGGUGAUGCAGAGGCCUGCAAAGCCUUGUACUCCGGUUCAAUUCCGGAUGGCGCCUCCA
Molecule: transfer RNA, 74 nt
Filed under: bacterium DOLZORAL124_38_8
Lineage: Bacteria
Description: tRNA-Cys
Rfam family: tRNA
About the family: Transfer RNA (tRNA) molecules are approximately 80 nucleotides in length. Their secondary structure includes four short double-helical elements and three loops (D, anti-codon, and T loops). Further hydrogen bonds mediate the characteristic L-shaped molecular structure. tRNAs have two regions of fundamental functional importance: the anti-codon, which is responsible for specific mRNA codon recognition, and the 3' end, to which the tRNAs corresponding amino acid is attached (by aminoacyl-tRNA synthetases). tRNAs cope with the degeneracy of the genetic code in two manners: having more than one tRNA (with a specific anti-codon) for a particular amino acid; and 'wobble' base-pairing, i.e. permitting non-standard base-pairing at the 3rd anti-codon position.
Source: RNAcentral